CCUCCCCGCCGCCCGCGCGCACCUACCCGCGCCCGGGACGCUCAUUUUCCUUCUCUCGCCACGAGUUCACCUGGGACUUUGGAAAUAACUGCGCUCCAGCCGUGUCAUUUGCUGGGGGUGGGUGGCGACGCCUGAGGAAGUGAACUUAUUUUAUUUUGUUCCUUCACAAAGGCUGGCCCGGGCGGCGCCUUUCACGCGAGGAGCCUGCGGCCACGGCCACCCGGGCGGAGGCGCCGCGAGUGCCAGGCAGCACCUCGGGCCCGAGGCGACGAUCGUUUCACAGAAAACGCACCGCCCCGAGUGUCUUAUUGCUGUGAUGAAAUGGAAAUUUAAAUAAAAGGUCGAACACGUGCGUUCACUGGGAAGUAUUGACAUGGGUGUUACAUCACCAGCAGCCAAUCAGAUAGCGCCAGUGGUGUUUAUACUUCUACAACCACCUUGUGUGAAAGGUAAUGCAGAAGACGCACGACCUGUGCCCUUCAAGGCCAUGAACACUCGUGGCCAACCUCGGACGAGAAGUCAGGCAGCUCAGCAAUGGAGCUAACAAAAUAAGCAAAGUCAGCUCAUGAGCCACAGAAACCUCCGUGCACACUCUCUCUCGAGCCUCUGGACCACAGAACUCCUGGGAGGAAGGGGACGUGAACGGGGAACCUCUCCCUCCGGCUGCUGGCAGUGGCCAGGUCUCUUUUUAAACUCGGAAAUAAUCCACUUUGGAGGAUUUCGUGAUGGACUUUUAUCGAGCCCUACUAUGUUCCAGGCCCUGCACUAACCUUAGCAGAACACAGGUGCGAAAAAGGCUCUCACAGCUCCCAACAGUGAGUAAAAAGUGGUCAGAUGAGGAAGCCAGUAUUUACUAUGUAGCGAAGAAGUGGGGCACAGAACGGGGGACACUGGCCUCUGUGAGGGAGACUUCGCAAAAGGAGUUUUAUUUAGUCGUAGACUCACAUGGAUUCAGGAAUGAUAUAAAGAGAUCCUAUGCACCGUUUGCCGGUGUCACCCAAUGGUAACGUCCUACAAAGUCACUGUACAAUACCACCAGAAUGUCGACACAGGCGUGCCGGCGUCACUCAGACUUCCUCAUCCGUGUGUGUGCGGGUGGCGGUGUUCAUCAUUUCACCUGGCGUGGCUCCACCGUCACGGUCGAGGUCCAGGAUCCCUUCACAAGGACCCUCUUACCGCUCCUUAUGACCUCCCC
Long non-coding RNA from Pteropus alecto (black flying fox), 1195 nucleotides. RefSeq lists it as uncharacterized. NCBI's taxonomy places the organism in Eukaryota, Metazoa, Chordata, Mammalia, Chiroptera, Pteropodidae. The transcript is spliced from 4 exons. The record is from RefSeq and is a predicted model, not a curated record.